AAUCCAUAGGUUAAUGAGGCGAACCGGGGGAACUGAAACAUCUAAGUACCCCGAGGAAAAGAAAUCAACCGAGAUUCCCCCAGUAGCGGCGAGCGAACGGGGAGGAGCCCAGAGCCUGAAUCAGCAUGUGUGUUAGUGGAAGCGUCUGGAAAGGCGCGCGAUACAGGGUGACAGCCCCGUACACAAAAGCGCAUGUGCUGUGAGCUCGAUGAGUAGGGCGGGACACGUGGUAUCCUGUCUGAAUAUGGGGGGACCAUCCUCCAAGGCUAAAUACUCCUGACUGACCGAUAGUGAACCAGUACCGUGAGGGAAAGGCGAAAAGAACCCCGGCGAGGGGAGUGAAAAAGAACCUGAAACCGUGUACGUACAAGCAGUGGGAGCACAGGUUUACCUGUGUGACUGCGUACCUUUUGUAUAAUGGGUCAGCGACUUAUAUUCUGUAGCAA
This 446-nucleotide ribosomal RNA is filed under the name Salmonella enterica subsp. enterica serovar Newport. RNAcentral describes it as "partial 23S ribosomal RNA". It matches the Rfam family "Bacterial large subunit ribosomal RNA", at positions 161 to 643 of the family's 2925-position model. The record is from RNAcentral. Lineage: Bacteria; Pseudomonadati; Pseudomonadota; Gammaproteobacteria; Enterobacterales; Enterobacteriaceae. RNAcentral also lists the same sequence under 1 other name.